GAGCAACCUGCCCUUAGCUCUGGGAUAACCCCGGGAAACCGGGGCUAAUACCGGAUACGUCCGUAAGGAGAAAGAUUUAUCGCUGAAGGAUCGGCCCGCGUCUGAUUAGCUAGUUGGUGGGGUAAUGGCCCACCAAGGCUACGAUCCGUAGCUGGUCUGAGAGGAUGAUCAGCCACACUGGGACUGAGACACGGCCCAGACCUCCGUACGGGAGGCAG
RNAcentral lists this ribosomal RNA (218 nucleotides) under uncultured bacterium. RNAcentral's name for it is "partial 16S ribosomal RNA". It matches the Rfam family "Bacterial small subunit ribosomal RNA", at positions 119 to 351 of the family's 1533-position model. The record is from RNAcentral.